GACGAACGCUGGCGGCGUGCUUAACACAUGCAAGUCGAACGGUAAGGCCCUUCGGGGUACACGAGUGGCGAACGGGUGAGUAACACGUGGGUGAUCUGCCCUGCACUUCGGGAUAAGCCUGGGAAACUGGGUCUAAUACCGGAUAGGACUCCUGGCUUCAUGGUUGGGGGUGGAAAGCACUUGCGGUGUGGGAUGGGCCCGCGGCCUAUCAGCUUGUUGGUGGGGUAAUGGCCUACCAAGGCGACGACGGGUAGCCGGCCUGAGGGGGUGACCGGUCACACUGGGACUGAGAUACGGCCCAGACUCCUACGGGAGGCAGCAGUGGGGAAUAUUGCACAAUGGGCGCAAGCCUGAUGCAGCGACGCCGCGUGAGGGAUGACGGCCUUCGGGUUGUAAACCUCUUUCAGCUAUGACGAAGCGCAAGUGACGGUAGUAGCAGAAGAAGGACCGGCCAACUACGUGCCAGCCGCCGCCGUAA
Molecule: ribosomal RNA, 478 nt
Filed under: uncultured bacterium
Lineage: Bacteria
Description: partial 16S ribosomal RNA
Rfam family: Bacterial small subunit ribosomal RNA
Source: RNAcentral